RNAcentral lists this ribosomal RNA (435 nucleotides) under uncultured archaeon. RNAcentral's name for it is "bacterial SSU rRNA". It matches the Rfam family "Archaeal small subunit ribosomal RNA", at positions 19 to 458 of the family's 1478-position model. The record is from RNAcentral.
GGACCUGACUGCUAUCGGAUUGAUACUAAGCCAUGCGAGUCAUUGUAGCAAUACAAGGCAUACGGCUCAGUAACGCGUAGUCAACCUAACCUAUGGACGGGAAUAACCUCGGGAAACUGAGAAUAAUGCCCGAUAGAACAUUAUGCCUGGAAUGGUUUAUGUUCCAAAUGAUUUAUCGCCGUAGGAUGGGACUGCGGCCUAUCAGUUUGUUGGUGAGGUAAUGGCCCACCAAGACUAUUACAGGUACGGGCUCUGAGAGGAGUAGCCCGGAGAUGGGUACUGAGACACGGACCCAGGCCCUAUGGGGCGCAGCAGGCGAGAAAACUUUGCAAUGUGCGAAAGCACGACAAGGUUAAUCCGAGUGGUUUCUGCUAAAGAAACCUUUUGUCGAGUCCUAGAAACACUGAUGAAUAAGGGGUGGGCAAGUUCUGGUGU